This is a long non-coding RNA of Mastomys coucha (southern multimammate mouse), 1110 nucleotides long. RefSeq lists it as uncharacterized. Lineage: Eukaryota; Metazoa; Chordata; Mammalia; Rodentia; Muridae. The transcript has 2 exons. The record is from RefSeq and is a predicted model, not a curated record.
CAUGCUGACGAACUUGUGGGAGGGGUUUUACCUCACCUAUUCUACCUGUUGGCUUGUAACAAACAGGGCGUUAAAUUGAAGAUGGCUGAGCGAUCAAAACUCCCGUCUAAUUUUAAACCUUCCAUGUGGACAGAGUCGACAUCACCUUUCUGUAGUGAUCCAGACAUGAAGAAGGAUGAGCAGGGCUGCUUUACCUGGCUGCCUUUCUUUUUAUGUUGAAUGCAUCUACCUUAUCGCUGCUACUGCUGCUGUGAUCAUCUGCCUACGUUGGAACCCAACUUCUACCUUUCUAUAUGCAUGGAAGAUCUGGGGCUAUCUAGAAAUCCUCCAGGCUGAGCUCGGGGAACCCUGUGGAAGAUAGGAAGGAAGGGUUGCAAAAGCCAGAGGAGAAGUGGACAUCACAUCAAACCCCACAAAAUCAACUAACCUGACUGGAUUUGUAAUCAAGGAGGCUGCGUGGGGCUGACCUAGGCCCUCUACCUAUAUGUUAUGGUCAGGUAGCUUGCUCUUUUGGUGGGACUCCUUGUGGGACACUGGCAGUGGGGGCUGUCUCAGACUCUUGCUUGUUUUUAGAACCCUGGUCCUCUGGCUAGGUUGUCUAGUGCCUAGUAUUACUGAAACUUGAUAUACCAUGUGUGUUUGAUAUCCGUGGGAGGCCUGGAGGCCUCUUCUUUGCAGAGACAUGAAGGAGGAUGAGUGGAUCUGGGGGAGGGGAGAAAGUAUGGGAGGGAGGGUCUCAGAGGAGAAGAGGGAGGGUAAAACUGCAGUGGAGAUGCACUAUAUGAGAGAAGAAUAAAAGGUGCAAACAAACAAAAAUAAAUAAAAGUUAACUAACUAACUAACUAACUAACUAACUAACUAAAUACUUUAGACCACAAUUGCCAGAAUGGGACUAGCUUCAUGAACUGAGAGACCAGAUUCUCAGCCUCUCCAGCCUGCUGACAGUCACUGUAGGACUAUCCAACUUCUAUUAUGUCAGAUAAGCUAAUGAAUUCCCUGUGUAAUAUAUGCCAAUUUAUUACUUCUGUUACUCAAGAGACUCUUAACACAGACAGUAUCCUUAAGAAGUAUUUGCCAUAUGAACGCCACAAAUGUAUAUAAAAUUUAAAA